Molecule: ribosomal RNA, 241 nt
Filed under: uncultured bacterium
Lineage: Bacteria
Description: partial 16S ribosomal RNA
Rfam family: Bacterial small subunit ribosomal RNA
Source: RNAcentral
AAGCGUUGUCCGGCAUUAUUGGGCGUAAAGCGCGCGCAGGCGGCCUUUUAAGUCUGAUGUGAAAUCUUGCGGCUCAACCGCAAGCGGCCAUUGGAAACUGGGAGGCUUGAGUACAGAAGAGGAGAGUGGAAUUCCACGUGUAGCGGUGAAAUGCGUAGAUAUGUGGAGGAACACCAGUGGCGAAGGCGACUCUCUGGUCUGUAACUGACGCUGAGGCGCGAAAGCGCGGGGAGCAAACAGG